Molecule: long non-coding RNA, 1798 nt
Filed under: Anas platyrhynchos platyrhynchos (common mallard)
Lineage: Eukaryota; Metazoa; Chordata; Aves; Anseriformes; Anatidae
Description: lncRNA (ENSAPLG00000028131.1)
Source: RNAcentral
CCCUUUUUUUGUGUAUUAUUUCCCAUUUUUGGUGCGUUAUUCCCCAUUUUUGGUGCGUUUAUCCCCAUUUUUGGCUCAUUUAUCCCCACUUUUGGCUCCCUAAUUCCCAUUUUUAGCUCAUUAAUUCCCGUUUUUUGCUAAUUUAUCCCGUUUUUGGCACAUUUCACCCCAUUUUCCCCUUCCCACGGGUGCCCCGUCCCCUCUCCCACAGGCCCCGCCCUGCCAUGACCUCACCCCAGCUCGUGACGUCACCGCCUAUCGCGACAUCACCAAGGGCCAUGACAUCGCCGACAGUCGUGACAUCACCAAGGGUGAUGACGUCAGCAGCUGUCACGACAUCACCCACUAUCGCGACAUCGCCAACGGUCGCGACAUCUCCGAGAGCCUUGAGGUCCCCGAGGGCCGUGACAUCACCAAGAGCCGUGACAUCACCAAUUAUCGCGAUGUCGCCAACCACCACGACAUCCCCAACUAUCGCGACAUCCCCAACUAUCGCAACAUCCCCAGCCACCGCGACCUCGCCAAGUGUCAUGACCUCGCUGACUAUCGCGACAUCACCACCAAGUAUCGCGACGUCACCACCAACUAUCGCGAUGUCGCCACCAACUAUCGCGACAUCGCCACUGACUAUUGCGAUAUCGCCUCCUAUCUUGACAUCCCCAACGAUCGCCACGUCCCCCAAUAUCGCGACAUCCCCACCGACCAUUGCCAUAUCGCCCACUAUCGCGACUUCCCCGCCCACUAUCGCGACUUUCCAGCCCACUAUCGCGACUUUCCCGGCCACUAUCGCGACGUCGCCGUCGGGCCGCAAGCGCAAGGCGCGCUCGGUGCGGCAGCGGCCGGCGCCGGGCGAGGAGCCCAACAUCUGCGUGGAGUGCGGGCACAGCUUCGCCCGGCCCAGCGCCCUCGCCGCGCACCGACGGAGGCACCGCGCCGCCAGGGCCGGCACCAGUGCUCCCAGUGCUCCCAGUACUCCCAGUGCGACCAGUGCGACCAGUGUGACCAGUGUGACCAGUGCUUGCAGUGGUUGCAGUGGUAGUGGUGCUAGGAGUGCCAGGAGUACUUGUAGUGCUUGCAGUGCUUGGAGUACUAGGAGUGCUUGGAGUACUCCCAGUGCUCCCAGUGCUCCCAGUGCUUGCAACGCUCCUAGGGCUUGCAGUGCUGGCAGUGCUUGUAGUACUCACGGUGCUCCCAGUGCUAGUUGUGAUUACACUGGUAGUAGUGCUCAUAGUGCUCCUAGUACUUGCAGCACUGGCACCGCUAGUAGUGCUCGUGGUGCUUGCAGUGCUUGUAGUACUUGCAGUGCUCCUAGUGCUUGUAGUGCUCAUAGUACUUGCAGCACUAGUACUGCUAGUAGUGCUCGUGGUACUUGCAAUGCUCCUAGUGCUCAUAGUGCUUGUAGUGGUCAUAGUGGUCCUAGUACUUGCAGCACCAGUACCGCUAGUAGUGCUUGUGGUGUUUGUAGCACUCGUAGUGCUCGCAGUGCUCCCGGUGCUUGCAGUACCAGUGAUACCAGUGGUCACAGUACUACCAGUACCAGUAGUACCACCAGUAACACCAGUACCACCACUGAUACCAGUGGCUGCAGUACCACCAGUACCAGUAGUACCAGUGCUUGCAGGACCUGUGCCCAGCCCCUCUCCCGCCCCCCCCAUCUCCCCCAGCCCUCCCCAAACCCCUCCCAAACCUCCCCAAAUCCCUCCCAAAUUCCCCCAAAUCCCUCCCAAACCUCCCCAAAUCCUCCCCAAAUUCCCCCAAAUCCUCCCCAAAUUCCCCCAAAUCCCCCCCAAACUCCCCC